Molecule: long non-coding RNA, 8043 nt
Filed under: Vitis vinifera (wine grape)
Lineage: Eukaryota; Viridiplantae; Streptophyta; Magnoliopsida; Vitales; Vitaceae
Description: long non-coding RNA (VVIN_LNC000735)
Source: RNAcentral
AAGGGUGAGACCACUCUCUUCCACUCAGAUGUGAUAAACAAGUCUAAUUUCAUAGUCCCCAUGAAAAUCAAGUGAAAUGAGGUUGAGUUUCCUGAAAAUUGGCAUUUUGCUAAUGCCGUUCCAGCUAUAGAGCAGAGAUUUGAAAGGAUUGAACAGAUUGGUCAAUAUCCUAAUGGAGGAGGAUAUCUGAUUUUCUCCAACUCUUUUCGUCAUUCUAGCAGCCCUAGAAUUUCAGAUUUUGAGCCCUCUAGAGCUUCAAGCUCUUCUAUCCCUGUAAGAACCACUAGGGAAGAAGAAGGUUUUAGUUCAACAAAUCCUAAGAAUAUUAAGCUAACAGGUGUUAGAAGUAACACCAACGUGGCCAGACCAUUUCACACGGAGGAAAAUGAGUCUACUUAGGAAUCACAACAGGAUGAGUCCCUUGUUAUGUCUCUUACAUAUUCCCAAAUGAUUAACGCUGUAAGCCUAAGUGAUGAGGAAUUUGAGAUCAACAAGGAUCUCUUAAGAAAAGACUUCUAUUCUGAAGUCAAUAAGGAAAGGAAAGAAUGGUUCUUUAGCACUGUUCUUAAAGACAUUAGAACCCUCUACCAAGAAGAAUUCUAUGAGUACUUAAGACAAGAAAAGAAAAAUAUUAAGUUUUGGAUUUGGUUUGAACUCUUCAAAAAAGAGGAAUAUCCAGACUAUCCCUAUAAGCGUAUUAACAACACAUCUACAAAAGCUAAGAUAUGGAAAACCAGUGACAACAUUGUCAUAGAAUCCUUCAUCCUCCUGAAGCUAAGAUAGAAAAGAAUGUUAAUGGAACCAUAGUUAAAGCUUCACCUUUUAAGACUAAGCCUGAGGAUAAAGGAACUGCUAGUGCAAUUGAUAUUAGAAGAAUCAUGGAAUAGAAUAUUUACACUAACAUGUUUCUUAAGACUAUUGGUGAUCAACUCAACAGGUUUGAGGAGAUCAUUGAAACUCAAGAUCACAUUAAGAAUUCCUUUGUUAAGAAUGACAAGAAGCCUUUGUUUAAGCCUUUUGAAUGCUCUAAGAAAUUCCAGGAAAAUCCUCAUAUUGAUCAAGCUUUCAUUGAUAGAAUUAGCCAAAAGGUUAAAGACAACCUUGUUAUCCCUGAAACACCUCAGCCUUUUGUUAUCCCUGAAACACCUCUGCCUUCCCAUAGGAGAAUUAAUUUGGUUAAGAGAAAUAUUAGUUCUGAAACAAAGGUUAAUGGACUAAUUAAGAUAGCCAAUGGAUCUUCUAACCAAAGGGUUUUUAGGAUCAAAAACCAUUGCGAUAGCCAAUCAAAGACUAUAAACAUCCUAAGCCAAGAACAAAAGCUUGUCCCAGAUACUUUAACUAUUAAGGAUCUUCAAGAAGAAAUAAAGCAGUAUAAGAAGGAGAUUAAGGACUUAAGACAACCUGCAAGCUUAGAAUUUUUUACCCUCCAUGAUCAAAUCAACAGGGUUGGUAUUUACCAUCGUAAUCCUAACCAGGAAAACCUUAAAGAAGUUCUUGAAUCCUCACAAGUCAAUAAUGAAGAGAUAAAUGCAUACUUAAAUACUAUUAGUAGAGUUAUCUUCCAAAGGUGGGAAGUCUCCCUUACUAUAGUAAUUAAGAAUAAAUUUGUCAUUGAUAUUAUUGCUUUGAUUGAUUCAGGAGCAGCUUUGAAUUGUCUUCAAGAAGGUCUAGUACCUACCCAACUUUAUGAGAAAACCAGACAAACUCUUUUUGGAGCCAAUGGCAAAAAACUUACUAUUAAGUAUAAGCUGUUUGAUGCUCAUAUUUGUAACCAAGGCAUUUGCAUUAAGCAAACCUUCAUUCUAGUUAAAGAUCUUAAGGAAAAAGCUCUCCUUGGAGUCCCCUUUUUAAGUUCUAUCUUUUCCAUGUGGGUAGAUGACCAAGGUAUAAGAACUAAGCUCUUAGAUAAAGAAAUAUUGUUUGAAUUUGCCAACCCACCUGGUGAAAGAAGUAUAAACACCUUAAAGGAACAGGUGAUUAAGGCUAAGGAAAACCAUGUUAAUCUCUUAAAGCAAGAGAUCGCUAUGGUUAGAAUAGAAGACUAAUUAAAGGUUAAGAAAGCUCAAGAUGCCAUAGAAAGAUUUAAGAAUAAAAUUAUUGGAGAAGUUUACUCUAACAUUCCUAAUGCGUUUUGGCAUAGGAAACAGCAUGACGUAGAGUUACCUUAUGAGCCAGAUUUUAGUGAGAAAAAUAUUCCCACUAAAGCAAGACCAAUCCAGAUGAACAAGGAGUUAUUAAGCUACUGUGAAAAGGAGAUCCAGGAUCUUCUUGAUAAGAAGUUGAUAAGGAAGUCUAAGUCCCCUUGGAGUUGUUCAGCCUUCUAUGUUCAGAAACAAGCUGAAUUAGAAAGAGGAACACCUAGACUAGUUAUCAAUUACAAGCCUCUCAAUGAUGUUUUAAGAUGGAUUAGGUAUCCUAUCCCAAAUAAGAAAGACCUCCUUCAAAGAUUAGUUAAGUCCAAAGUUUUCUCUAAGUUUGACAUGAAAUCAGGAUUUUAGCAAAUCCAGAUUGCUGAAAAUGAUAGGUAUAAAACAACAUUUGUGGUUCCCUUUGGACAUUAUGAAUGGAACGUAAUGCCCUUUGGUCUUAAGAAUGCACCUUCAGAAUUCCAAAACAUAAUGAAUGAAAUAUUUAACCAGUUUUCUAAUUUCAUCAUUGUAUACAUUGAUGAUGUUUUGAUUUACUCUGAUUCUGUUGAGCAGCAUUGGAAACAUCUCAACAAGUUUGUUGAGACUGUUAAAAGUAAUGGUCUAAGCUUGUCAGCCACUAAGAUUAACCUCUUUCAAACUAAGGUAAGAUUCCUAGGUCAUCAUAUUCAUUAAGGAACAAUCACCCCCAUUCAAAGAUCAAUUGAGUUUGCUGAUAAGUUUCCUGAUGAGAUUAAGGAUAAGAAACAACUACAACGUUUCUUAGGAAGCCUUAAUUAUGUGUCAGAAUUUAUUCAAGACUUAAGCCAACUUUGUGCCCCUUUAAGACAAAGACUUGAGAAAAAUCCAGUAUCUUGGAAUGAGGAUCAUACCAAGAUUGUCAAAACUGUCAAAUCUAGAGUCAAGACCUUACCAUGCCUUGCCCUAGCUGAUCCAAAAGCCUUUAAGAUUGUAGAGACUGAUGCCUCUGACAUAGGUUGUGGCGGGAUUCUCAAGCAAAGGAUUGAUAACCAGGAGAAGUUGGUUAGGUAUACUUCAGGAACCUGGGGAAGUGUCCAACUCAACUAUAACAGUAUUAAAAAGGAAAUUUUAAGCAUUGUUUUAUGCAUUUCAAAAUUUCAAGAUGAUCUUUUAAAUCAAGAAUUUUUAUUAAGAGUUGAUUGCAAAUCGACAAAAUCAGUUUUACAAAAGGAUGUUAAGAAUAUAGCUUCUAAGCAUAUUUUUGCUAGAUAACAAGCUAUUUUAAGCAAUUUUGAUUUUCAAAUUGAAUAUAUUAAAGGAGAUAAUAACUCAAUCCCUGAUUUCUUAACUCGUGAAUUUUUGUAGGAUUCAUAAGAUCAUGACCCCCAAAAAAGAAAAACAACCUCUUAGGCCCAUUAAGAAAUCUAUUGCCUCUAUGAAAUCUCAUUUAGCUUUAUCUGAGAAAUUCAUGCCUUUGUAUUAUGAACAUUUUGAUGUUGCAAGAUCUUCAAAUGAUCCUAUUUCUUUAGCAACUCUUAAGCAUCCUUCUUCCCCUAACAAGGAUAAAGGAGACAUUUCGGAUUCUCUACCUUUUGUGGAGGAUUCCUUUCCCACAAAUCCAUCUUCUAUAGACACUAACCCUUUAUCUGUUUAUAAAAGUCUUUGUGAUUUGCAGGACAGGUGCAGGGUUUUGGAAAGAAAACUAGAUCUAGUUGACUUUCCCAAAACACAUCCGGAUGCGCUUAAAAACCAAGCCCUAUUUUCCCCACUGGGAAAUGGAGAGAAUAAGCAAUUCACCCCACUGGUGAAUGUAAAAAAUUUAAGUGAGGAAGAGUGGAGUUUCCUCAAUUUAAGAAUGUAUUUUCACAAGAAGCAGAUUUUCUACUCUCUUAAGGAAGAUGAUGUUCGUCUUCUAAUUUAUGAAAAAGCUAAGGCUCUUGCAAAGGAAAAACAAGUUUUUAUCUCUGCCUAUCUUCAAGAUCUUCACAUCUAUCUUUCAACCAUACUUGGUCUUAGGGUUCCAGGGUUAAAAUUGGUUAAAGAUAUGGAGUUUGACAAUUCUAAGAUUUGCAGAAGCCUUAGUGAGCAUCUUCUCCAUCAGCAAGACAACAAGCAGUUUUGUAAUUGCAACAUAAACUUUACUAUCAGCAGAGUUUGCAUUGACUUACAAUAUUACCAGCCAAUUAGCUUUGCUUUCAAGAAUGAAGUAUUAACCCUAACCCCAGAGCUUCUUCUUGAUUAUGGGUUAGUUCACCAGCUGGUCUGCUUUGAUCCCAGCCAAGCAAGUAAUUUCAGAAGAAAAAUUAACUUAGGAUUAAUUCAGGGUUUUAAGAUGAAUAAGAAGUUUGCUGACGCUAUCAUUAUCAGCAAAGCUCUUGAAUGGAUCUCUAAUAGUAGUCUUCUCCCAGCACAACAUUAUGUUUCUCUUCAUUAUCAGAACAUGAGACCUACUCUAUUGUCCUGCCCUUUGGAGCAACCUAAUAUCUGUGUUGAGCCUCUUAUUAAGCAAAUCAAGCAUUGGAGAGCCAGAAUCAUUAGCAGGGAUUUUGAGGCUUAUCCUAAAAAUAUGGGAUAUUUUAUUUCUGAGGAUUCCCUUCAUCAGAUUUUUUGCAGUAAAAGGAUUGAUCCCCUGCCCUCCAAAUCCAUCGUUGAAGAUACGCAGCUACUAAUGGAACACCGGUCAGAUUAUAUUCUUCCCUGAUUCCUCAUCAGUCCUCCUCCAAUGACGUUGAUUUUCCACUAAAAAGCUUUAAGCAUUAUCAACACCAAAAGCAACCUUGUCUCCCAGCAUGUGCAUCCACAGUUCAAGAAAUGGCCUACCAGUCGUUAUUUUCGCCGAAAGUAAGAUUCCUUGCUGAAAAGUCUAAAAGUGCUACAGUAACAUGUUACUGUUCACUUUUACUAUUUAUGCACGGGUUAACUAUUCACAGCAGUUGGUCAAAAAACAAAUAGUGUUUUGUCUCCUGAUUGGUACUAUUUAAUAUUCUCUUUUUGGCUAUUUAAAGGGGCUUGAUCCUCAGUUGUAAGCAUCUCUCAUUUUUCUCUUCCAGCUUAUGCUCUCCCAUCUCUCUUCUUUCUCUCUCAUCAUGUAAGCUCUCCAGCCCAAAGCUUUCUUCAAAGCUUUCCUCCCUUCUCCCAUUGUAAGAUAUUCAUCUCCUUAUAUAAGUAUGUUUUAUGUUACACCUCCUAUUAUGGAUGGUUUUCAAGCUAUGUAGUUAUAUAAGUAUGUUUGAUGUUUUCAUUAUAUCUCCUAUUAUGGAUGGUUUUCAAUUUAUGUAAUUAAAAGUUUGUGGUUCCUUCUCUUUAAAUUUAUUGUUAAAUAUCUUGUGUAUUUUCUGAUUUCUCUUCUUUGUUUUGAAUUUUGACAUAAUUCAUGUUUUCAUUGCCAAUAUCUUGAUUUUGCUGAAAGUGGUGUGGGGUUGGCAGCCACCACAAUUUGCUUAUUUGAAAAAGAAGAGCUUGAUGCUAAUUCCUUUUGAGAGGGAUUAGCUUUAGUAACCUGCUUAAAGGUCUAAGACCCUAAAAUAGUUGGGUAUUGGGUAGUCUUGACUGGAUUAGAAGGAUCUGAAAGAUCACAGUACAAGGUCAUCAUCUUGUUGGGCAUAAGAUUAGAAGAAUGAAGCCUUGCUUCUUCUUCAAGUUCAACUUGUUGACUCCAAAGCAUUUUAUGGGGAGAAAGAUCUUGACUGGAUUGGGUUUUCUGUGGGUUAGGAGCUUGACUUCUUGGAAACACGAUCAACCACCACCAUCAUUGAAAUCAUGUACGUCGAAGAGUUCUUGGAAACCCAAGAACAAAGUCCAUACUAAUAUGCUACCAUGGUUUGUUGGGAAUGGUUAAGUGGCAAAUAGAGCUCUGCUUGCUGCUUGGUGCCUUUGAUUAAUUGGCAAAUCCAACAUCAAUCAACCAUUAUAUGCACGUCUCUCCACAUCCAACGUCAAUAAAACUGAUAAAAAACAAUAGCAAAGGUUUUAUCAUGACCGAAAUGCUCAACUAAACCCCCACCGUGGAGUUUCGUAAUUAGAAACUCCCAAANNNNNNNNNNNNNNNNNNNNNNNNNNNNNNNNNNNNNNNNNNNNNNNNNNNNNNNNNNNNNNNNNNNNNNNNNNNNNNNNNNNNNNNNNNNNNNNNNNNNUUCUCCCCAUAAAAUGCUUGGGAGUCAACAAGUUGAACUUGAAGAAGAAGCAAGGCUUCAUUCUUUUAAUCUUAUACCCAACAAGAUGAUGACCUUGUACUAUGAUCCUUCUAAUCUAGUCAAGGCUACCCAAUACCCAACUAUUUUAGGGUCUCAGACCUUUAAGCAGGUUACUAAAGCUAAUCCCUCUCAAAAGGAAUUAGCAUCAAGCUCUUCUUUUUCAAAUAAGCAAAUUGUGGUGGCUGCCAAUCCCACACCACUUUCAACAAAAUCAAGAUAUUGGCAAAAUGAUUUAAAUCAACCUCUUUUGGUUAUCGAAAGAGAAUUUUUCUCUGAAAACCCAAGAGAGAUUGCAGCAAAAGCUUUUCAUGAAAAUUUUCAUUAUCCUUCUGGUGAUCUUUUAAAAACAAGAGAAUUUUAUGAGGUAAUCCUCGUAGAAACUGGUUCUGUUAAAAUUAAGCAUAACGUUGAUAAAUAAAGUAAUUUGGAUUUGACAUUUUCCACCUGUCAUAUCUAUAAGAUUCUUACUGUUAAGCAAUGGGGAGGAAAUCCCAAUUUCUCAAGAGAGUUCUCUAAACCUUCAAAACUAAGAUUUUUCAACUAUUGGGAUUAUUAGAGAUUAUGGUUCAAUGCUUUUCUGAUCCAGAAUAAGGACUUCCAUCGUUCAUGGAUGUUCUAUUUUCCAUCUAAGCAUCAACUUUCUUCCUUCCCAUUUUGGUUCCACAAUUGGUGGACUUAUUUCGGUCCAUCCAUUAAGAUUCUUCCUAAACCCAUCUUAGAUGGAUUUGAGCUAUUCAAUAGUUCUUUUGUUAUCCCCAGAGAACUUUCAGCUUUUCCCCCUUCAUUAUUCUUUUUCAAUAAAUUUGGCCUUGCUUGGAUAGUCCAGUGGGACUACAUUAUCAUUGCGGAUGAAUCAGCAGCUUUUCCAACUCUUGGAAGCAGUUAAGCAAUAUUUCCUCAAGCAUACCACACAAGCUUCAGCUAAUGAUGAUAUGUCACAGUUUCUUCUCAAGAAACAACAGCUUCAAACCAUGCUCGCAGCAACAAAAACCCCUCAAGAUUUCCAGAGAAUCCUUGAUGAAGGAAGCUCAAGUUUUUAUCAAGAAAACUCUUAUGUAGAAUCUGAUGAUUUAACAAGCUACCUUCCUGAUAAUGGUGAUGACUGUGAAGGUAUCCUUCCUCCGAUAAGGAAAUCCAAGUAAUCUUUUGCUUCAUGACUACAAGGUUAUUCUCUCCAAUGAGCUCAUUUCAACUCCAAAAGCAGUUUUGUCUUCCAGCAUGUGCGUCUACAGUUCAAGAAAUGGCCUGCCAGUUGUUUUUCCCGUCGAAAGUAAGAUUCCUGUUGAAAAGUCUAAAAGUGCUAUAGUAAAUGUUACUGUUCACUUUUACUAUUCAUGCACGAGUUAACUAUUCACAACAGUUGGUCAAAAAGCAAAUAGUGCUUUGUCUCCUGAUUGGUACUGUUUAAUAUUCUCUUUUUGGCUAUUUAAAGAGGCUUGAUCCUCGUUUGUAAGCAUCUCUCAUUUUUCUCUUCCAGCUUAUGCUCUCCCUUCUCUCUUCUUUGUCUCUCAUCAUGUAAGCUCUCCAGCCCAAAGCUUUCUUCAAAGCUUUCCUCACUUCUCCCAUUGUAAGAUAUUCAUCUCCUUGUAUAAGUAUGUUUUAUGUUACACCUCCUAUUAUGGAUGGUUUUUAAGCUAUGUAGUUAUAUAAGUAUGUUUGAUGUUUUCAUUAUACCUCCUAUUAUGGAUGGUUUUCAAUUGAUGUAAUUAAAAGUUUGUGGUUCCUUCUCUUUAAAUUUCUUG